CAGCUUUCCGUAGGCAUACUGACGGCUGGAGCUUGAAAGCGCGGGUAUCGAACAGGAUUAGAUACCCUGGUAGUCCGCGCGGUAAACGAUGGAUACCCGCUGUCCGGCCUUUUGGUCGGGUGGCCAAGCGAAAGCAUUAAGUAUCCCACCUGGGGAGUACGCCGGCAACGGUGAAACUCAAAGGAAUUGACGGGGGCCCGCACAAGCGGAGGAACAUGUGGUUUAAUUCGAUGAUACGCGAGGAACCUUACCCGGGCUUGAACUGCAGCUGAACGAUUCAGAGAUGAUGAGGCCCUUCGGGGCAGCUGUGGAGGUGCUGCAUGGUUGUCGUCAGCUCGUGCCGUGAGGUGUCGGCUUAAGUGCCAUAACGAGCGCAACCCUUGCGGUCAGUUGCCAUCAGGUUAUGCUGGGCACUCUGGCCGGACUGCCACCGUAAGGUGUGAGGAAGGUGGGGAUGACGUCAAAUCAGCACGGCCCUUACGUCCGGGGCUACACACGUGUUACAAUGGGGCAUACAGAGAGCCGGUCGUUCGCAAGUGCGAUCCAAUCCUUAAAGUGCCUCGUAGUUCGGAUUGGGGUCUGCAACCCGACCCCAUGAAGCUGGAUUCGCUAGUAAUCGCGCAUCAGCCAUGGCGCGGUGAAUACGUUCCCGGGCCUUGUACACACCGCCCGUCAAGCCAUGAAAGCCGGGGGCGCCUGAAGUCCGUGACCGCAAGGAUCGGCCUAGGGCGAAACCGGUGAUUGGGGCUAAGUCGUAACAAGGUAGCCGUA
This 771-nucleotide ribosomal RNA is filed under the name uncultured rumen bacterium. RNAcentral's name for it is "bacterial SSU rRNA". It matches the Rfam family "Bacterial small subunit ribosomal RNA", at positions 722 to 1504 of the family's 1533-position model. The record is from RNAcentral.